RNAcentral lists this ribosomal RNA (1419 nucleotides) under Microtrichalus sp. A00446. RNAcentral's name for it is "SSU rRNA". It matches the Rfam family "Eukaryotic small subunit ribosomal RNA", at positions 1 to 1344 of the family's 1831-position model. Lineage: Eukaryota; Metazoa; Arthropoda; Insecta; Coleoptera; Lycidae. The record is from RNAcentral.
GACAACCUGGUUGAUCCUGCCAGUAGUCAUAUGCUUGUCUCAAAGAUUAAGCCAUGCAUGUCUCAGUACAAGCCAAAAUAAGGUGAAACCGCGAAAGGCUCAUUAAAUCAGUUAUGGUUCCUUAGAUCGUACCAACAUUUACUUGGAUAACUGUGGUAAUUCUAGAGCUAAUACAUGCAAACAGAGCUUCGACCGGAGACGGAAGAGGCGCUUUUAUUAGAUCAAAACCAAUCGGCGGCGGGUUCGCUUGCGGGCUCGUCGUCGUUUUCACUGACGAAUCUGAAUAACUUUCUGCUGAUCGCACGGUCUCGCACCGGCGACGCAUCUUUCAAAUGUCUGCCUUAUCAACUGUCGAUGGUAGGUUCUGUGCCUACCAUGGUUGUAACGGGUAACGGGGAAUCAGGGUUCGAUUCCGGAGAGGGAGCCUGAGAAACGGCUACCACAUCCAAGGAAGGCAGCAGGCGCGCAAAUUACCCACUCCCGGCACGGGGAGGUAGUGACGAAAAAUAACGAUACGGGACUCAUCCGAGGCCCCGUAAUCGGAAUGAGAACAAUUUAAAUCCUUUAACGAGGAUCAAUUGGAGGGCAAGUCUGGUGCCAGCAGCCGCGGUAAUUCCAGCUCCAAUAGCGUAUAUUAAAGUUGUUGCGGUUAAAAAGCUCGUAGUCGAAUCUGUGUCCCGCGCCGCCGGUUCGUCGCUCGCGGCGUUUAACUGGCGUGUCCGCGGGACGUCCUGCCGGUGGGCUUAGCCUUUUUAUUAAGGCGGCCCAAUCUUAAUCCCGCCGCGGUGCUCUUCACCGAGUGUCGAGGCGGGCCGGCACGUUUACUUUGAACAAAUUAGAGUGCUUAAAGCAGGCUAAAACUUCGCCUGAAUACUUCGUGCAUGGAAUAAUGGAAUAGGACCUCGGUUCUAUUUUGUUGGUUUUCGGAACCCCGAGGUAAUGAUUAAUAGGAACGGAUGGGGGCAUUCGUAUUGCGACGUUAGAGGUGAAAUUCUUGGAUCGUCGCAAGACGGACAGAAGCGAAAGCAUUUGCCAAAAACGCUUUCAUCGAUCAAGAACGAAAGUUAGAGGUUCGAAGGCGAUCAGAUACCGCCCUAGUUCUAACCAUAAACUAUGCCAGCUAGCGAUCCGCCGAAGUUACUUCUAUGACUCGGCGGGCAGCUUCCGGGAAACCAAAGCUUUCGGGUUCCGGGGGAAGUAUGGUUGCAAAGCUGAAACUUAAAGGAAUUGACGGAAGGGCACCACCAGGAGUGGAGCCUGCGGCUUAAUUUGACUCAACACGGGAAACCUCACCAGGCCCGGACACCGGAAGGAUUGACAGAUUGAGAGCUCUUUCUUGAUUCGGUGGGUGGUGGUGCAUGGCCGUUCUUAGUUGGUGGAGCGAUUUGUCUGGUUAAUUCCGAUAACGAACGAGACUCA